CAGCAAAUGGUACAAUAUUUCUACGUAGUAAAGUUUGUGACGGUGGCUAGUCUUUUGAAAAAGAGGUGACGCCUAUGUUAUUGUUUUUCCGCGUUAUUUCUGGAAAGGAAUAGCCUUGACUGUUUAUCAAUCGUUAAUGUUUGCGAUAGCUUUCGCAACUUUGAUUGUGACAAUCAUCAAUAAAAA
Enterococcus sp. 3H8_DIV0648 is the source of this 186-nucleotide non-coding RNA. The record is from Rfam. Lineage: Bacteria; Bacillati; Bacillota; Bacilli; Lactobacillales; Enterococcaceae.